CGCGUAGGCGGCUUAUCAAGUCAGGCGUGAAAGCCCCGGGCUUAACCUGGGAACUGCGCUUGAGACUGUUAGGCUUGAGUUUCGGAGAGGUAGGUGGAAUUCCCAGUGUAGAGGUGAAAUUCGUAGAUAUUGGGAAGAACACCGGUGGCGAAGGCGGCCUACUGGACGAAUACUGACGCUGAGGCGCGAAAGCGUGGGGAGCAAAACA
Molecule: ribosomal RNA, 208 nt
Filed under: uncultured bacterium
Lineage: Bacteria
Description: partial 16S ribosomal RNA
Rfam family: Bacterial small subunit ribosomal RNA
Source: RNAcentral